UGCAAGUCGAGCGGCAUCGCGGGGGCAACCCUGGCGGCGAGCGGCGAACGGGUGAGUAACAUAUCGGAACGUACCCAGUAAUGGGGGAUAACUAACCGAAAGGUUAGCUAAUACCGCAUACGCCCUGAGGGGGAAAGUGGGGGAUCGCAAGACCUCACGUUAUUGGAGCGGCCGAUAUCGGAUUAGCUAGUUGGUGAGGUAAAGGCUCACCAAGGCGACGAUCCGUAGCGGGUCUGAGAGGACGGCCCGCCACACUGGAACUGAGACACGGUCCAGACUCCUACGGGAGGCAGCAGUGGGGAAUUUUGGACAAUGGGCGCAAGCCUGAUCCAGCCAUUCCGCGUGAGUGAAGAAGGCCUUCGGGUUGUAAAGCUCUUUCGGCAGGAACGAAACGGUCAUUCCUAAUACGAGUGGCUAAUGACGGUACCUGAAGAAGAAGCACCGGCUAACUACGUGCCAGCAGCCGCGGUAAUACGUAGGGUGCAAGCGUUAAUCGGAAUUACUGGGCGUAAAGCGUGCGCAGGCGGUUUUGUAAGACAGAUGUGAAAUCCCCGGGCUCAACCUGGGAACUGCGUUUGUGACUGCAAGACUUGAGUGUGGCAGAGGGGGGUGGAAUUCCACGUGUAGCAGUGAAAUGCGUAGAGAUGUGGAGGAACACCGAUGGCGA
This 667-nucleotide ribosomal RNA is filed under the name uncultured bacterium. RNAcentral describes it as "bacterial SSU rRNA". It matches the Rfam family "Bacterial small subunit ribosomal RNA", at positions 56 to 718 of the family's 1533-position model. The record is from RNAcentral.